GGUGGCUUAGUGGGAGAGCGCUUGCCUUGCAUGCAUGAGGUCCUGGGUUCAAUUCCUCAGCACCA
RNAcentral lists this transfer RNA (65 nucleotides) under Dipodomys ordii (Ord's kangaroo rat). It matches the Rfam family "tRNA". From Rfam's summary of the family: Transfer RNA (tRNA) molecules are approximately 80 nucleotides in length. Their secondary structure includes four short double-helical elements and three loops (D, anti-codon, and T loops). The record is from Rfam by way of RNAcentral. Lineage: Eukaryota; Metazoa; Chordata; Mammalia; Rodentia; Heteromyidae.